Molecule: ribosomal RNA, 425 nt
Filed under: uncultured bacterium
Lineage: Bacteria
Description: bacterial SSU rRNA
Rfam family: Bacterial small subunit ribosomal RNA
Source: RNAcentral
GUGGGGGAUAUUGCACAAUGGGCGAAAGCCUGAUGCAGCGACGCCGCGUGAGGGAAGACGGUUUUCGGAUUGUAAACCUCUGUCUUCGGGGACGAAACAAGACGGUACCCGAGGAGGAAGCCACGGCUAACUACGUGCCAGCAGCCGCGGUAAUACGUAGGUGGCAAGCGUUGUCCGGAAUUACUGGGUGUAAAGGGAGUGUAGGCGGGGCUUCAAGUCCGUUGUGAAACCGAUCGGCUCAACUGAUCGUUGCGGCGGAAACUGGAGUUCUUGAGUGAGGUAGAGGCAGGCGGAAUUCCCAGUGUAGCGGUGAAAUGCGUAGAUAUUGGGAGGAACACCAGUGGCGAAGGCGGCCUGCUGGGCCUUAACUGACGCUGAGGCUCGAAAGUGUGGGGAGCAAACAGGAUUAGAUACCCCAGUAGUCC